RNAcentral lists this long non-coding RNA (1076 nucleotides) under Anas platyrhynchos platyrhynchos (common mallard). RNAcentral describes it as "lncRNA (ENSAPLG00000021010.1)". Lineage: Eukaryota; Metazoa; Chordata; Aves; Anseriformes; Anatidae. The record is from RNAcentral.
CCCUCGCCGAGACGCAGGGGCAGUGGGAGAGCUGCAGAAAGGAGCUGGACACGGUGAAGAGCAGCGUCUCGGAGCUGACACGGCGUUUAGCCCAGCUGCAGCACCACGGGGAUGAGCAGGAGGCCAACGUGGGGCGGCUGCAAGAGGACAACAGGGAGAUCAAGGAGAAGCUGGAACAGCAGCGGCAGCAGCUGGAGGAGGCGCAGAAGGACAGGAGAGAUCUCCAGUCACAGAUCUGGGACGCUUUGGCAAGGAUCGGGUCCGGACAGAGCUGGCAUUCGAGUGGCACCAGCGCGACGUUCCCCGGCGUGGCCGUGCCCCUCGUCCUCCUGGCUCUGCUCUUGGCCAGGCUGGAGGCCAACGCCACGGCGCUGCGGGACGAGGCGCUGGCGCUGCGGCGCGAGCGGGCUGAGCUGGCCCGCAGGAACGCGGCUCUGCAAGGUGUGUCCGUCUGUCCGUCCCCUGGGACCCCACCCCGGGGUGCUGACCUGGCCACCCACCCCCUGGGGACGAUGCCCAGCCGGGUGGCUCAGGUUUUGGGGUGCCCCUUUCGCCCCGCAGAGGAGCUGGCGCAGGGCACGGAGGAGGCGAAGGAGCUGCGGCGGCGGCUGGAGGAGGCGGAGGAGCAGUGGCGAACGCUGCGGGCACGCGGGGAGAAGUGUGAGGCUCGGCAGAAAGAGCUCGAGAAAAACCUGUGAGGGUCCCAUCCCUUUGCCGUGCCCCCCCCUGGGUGCCCCCCCAAGGCUGCGGUGCCCCCUGACACGGCUCUGCUCUGCCCGCAGGAGGGACUACGCGGCCGAGGUGGAGGCGCAGCAACGGCGGAGAGUGGGGUCCCGCACGGCCAGGCGCAGGUGCCCCCCUUCCCGGUACAUUUCUUGGGGGCUGCCCUGCUGUUUUGUGGGGUCGGGGGCUGGGCACCUUGGGGAGGGGGCUUCUCCAGCACAACCCUUCGUGGGCACAGCUCUGCAGGUGCCGUCGCGCCCCUUUUGUCACCGGUGUCCCCGCUCACUCGAGGCUGUCCCCUCUCUUGCAGGAAAGGCUGAAGCCCCGCAGCAUCCUUCCUGCCCCCCCAUCCC